CUUUGUGAUGACCCCAAUUGAAUCUCGUUCGGCUGAACCCGCUGCUGAGAAGCAACCACUGACUCUG
Molecule: small nucleolar RNA, 67 nt
Filed under: Strigops habroptila (Kakapo)
Lineage: Eukaryota; Metazoa; Chordata; Aves; Psittaciformes; Psittacidae
Description: Small nucleolar RNA SNORD30 (ENSSHBG00005019367.1)
Rfam family: Small nucleolar RNA SNORD30
About the family: U30 is a member of the C/D class of snoRNA which contain the C (UGAUGA) and D (CUGA) box motifs. U30 is encoded within the U22 snoRNA host gene (UHG) in mammals and is thought to act as a 2'-O-ribose methylation guide for ribosomal RNA.
Source: Rfam by way of RNAcentral